This 181-nucleotide unclassified non-coding RNA is filed under the name uncultured Scolecobasidium. Its description in RNAcentral is "sequence contains ITS1". Lineage: Eukaryota; Fungi; Ascomycota. The record is from RNAcentral.
CUGGGUUUCGGACCUCGUGUCCACUCACCCGCCCUUUGUCAUAUACAUCCACAUCAUUUCGGCCCCUGAUCCUCGGACGCCCCCUCUAUUAAGUUAGCGGGGUACCGCCUGUUGAUUGCGGGUCGGCAUUGCAAACCCACGCGGAUUACUGAAGUCUGAUACAAUUUUUUAAACGAAAUUA